This 783-nucleotide non-coding RNA is filed under the name Chrysis chinensis. The record is from RNAcentral. Lineage: Eukaryota; Metazoa; Arthropoda; Insecta; Hymenoptera; Chrysididae.
UAUAAAUUGUAUUAAAAAUUUUUAUAUAAAUUAAUAAAUUUAAUUAUAGUUUUAAAGUUAAUUAAAAAAUUUGUGUAUAUAUAAAUAUUAAAAAUUUAAUAUAAAUAGAAGUAGUAUAUAAAUUUAAUAAAUUUAAAAAUAUUUAAUUUUAGGAAUUUUUAUAAUUUGGAUAAAUAAUUGUGCCAGCAAUCGUGGUUAAACAAUUUAAAUAAAUUAAUUUAAUUAAAUUAAAAUUAAAUGAAUAUUUAUAUAAUAAAAAUUUAAAUUGUUAGGUGAAAUUAAUUAAUUUUAAAUUAUUAUAUUUAAAUGUAAUUUGAGUUUUUAAAAGAUUUAAAUAAAACUAGGAUUAGAUACCCUAUUAUAUAAUUUAAAGAGUGUAAUUUUAAUAUUAAAUGAUAAAUCAUUAAAUUUAAAUAAUUUGGCGGUAUUUUAAUUUUAUUAGAGGAAUUUGUUAAUUAAUUGAUAUUACCCGAUAAGUUAAACUUUAAUUUAAUUUUUAUAUUGUUGUUUUAAGAGUAUUUUUAUAAAAAUUAUUUAAGAUUUUUUUAAAUAAAAUUAAUUCAGAUCAAAAUGGAGUAUAUAUUAAAGAGUUAAUGAGUUACAAUAAAUUUAAUUUAAAUGGAUUUAUAAUUUAAAAAUUUUAAUGAAGGUGAAUUUAAAAGUAAAAUAAAAUAAUUAUUUUAUUUGAUUAAAAUUUUAAAGUAUGUACAAAUUGCCCGUCGUUCUCUUUGAAAAAGGAGGUAAGUCGUAACAAAGUAAAAGUACUGGAAAGUGUUUUUAGAU